CUGUUCACCCCAGUGACCAACCCAGUUGUGAUCACAGGGGAAGUAACCAUGGGACAGAUGAAUAAAGACAGCCAGACCUGGGAGGUCCCACUGAUAAAUGACCACGAGAAGGGUUGGUCACUGUGAGGAGGAUCUCCCUGAGGAAGAAGCUGGAGUUAAAACCAGUAAAAUACAUAAAAGUAAAAGUAGAUAAUCAAACAAAUAAGUAAACCCCAAUGGAAAGGUAAAAAACUAAAAAUGAUGGUUGAAAAGCAAUCGAUUAUGAUUAAAUAUAAUAAAAUGGUUUCAAUAUCAAAUAAAUAAAUUUCUAAUUAAUUUCCACAUUAAAAAUGUUGGUCUUCCUUUAAAAGAAAUUUGUAAACAGCAUUAAAAUGCAACAACUUAAGAAUUCUAAAACGUCAAAAUGUCUGAUCAGUUUUUUAUGUUUGAAAUAACAACAAAACUUCAACGUUUUGUCUCGUGUGCUGUCAGAUCGGUGCAGACUUCUGAGUGUUGUUGUCUUGUUUCAACAGGAGUUACACUGGACAUCCUUUUCAAAAGCUCUGACCUGCUGCUGCAACCUAUUUAUUCUGACCGACUGAAGGUUGCUGGAUGGUUGCUACUUGAAUUCAGCAUCCUUUACAGUUUCUACCUGUUUCAUCAUCUGUCCUACGGCAUGAUGGGUCCUCUUGCUCAUGAGUCGGGGAGUGCAAUGGCGGGCCUGAAGUGGAUGGACUCCUGGGAUUUCUAGUUAUCCUUGUUUGAUGAAGAUGCAGAUGGAUUCUCGUCAAAGACCUUGAGUAUUUGAGCUCUUGAUGGAGUUUGAGUCUAAACAUUUCAUAUGUUGUCUUUCUAUAAGAAAAAUGUGAAUUCAAUCUAUUUGAAAAAGCAGAUUGUGCAAUCCAUUAAGGUACGCCUGAAUUGUCACCAAGUGGCGUUAAGUGACAAAUUAAAUUCCAUUUGAAAGAGA
Oryzias melastigma (Indian medaka) is the source of this 949-nucleotide long non-coding RNA. RefSeq lists it as uncharacterized. The transcript is spliced from 2 exons. Lineage: Eukaryota; Metazoa; Chordata; Actinopteri; Beloniformes; Adrianichthyidae. The record is from RefSeq and is a predicted model, not a curated record.